AUCGGGGCAGGGUGAGUCGACCCCUAAGGCGAGGCCGAAAGGCGUAGUCGAUGGGAAACGGGUUAAUAUUCCCGUACUUGGUGUUACUGCGAAGGGGGGACGGAGAAGGCUAUGUUGGCCGGGCGACGGUUGUCCCGGUUUAAGCGUGUAGGCUGGUUUUCCAGGCAAAUCCGGAAAAUCAAGGCUGAGGCGUGACGACGAGGCACUACGGUGCUGAAGCAACAAAUGCCCUGCUUCCAGGAAAAGCCUCUAAGCAUCAGGUAACACGAAAUCGUACCCCAAACCGACACAGGUGGUCAGGUAGAGAAUACCAAGGCGCUUGAGAGAACUCGGGUGAAGGAACUAGGCAAAAUGGUGCCGUAACUUCGGGAGAAGGCACGCUGACAUGUAGGUGAAGUGAUUUACUCAUGGAGCUGAAGUCAGUCGAAGAUACCAGCUGGCUGCAACUGUUUAUUAAAAACACAGCACUGUGCAAACACGAAAGUGGACGUAUACGGUGUGACGCCUGCCCGGUGCCGGAAGGUUAAUUGAUGGGGUCAGCGCAAGCGAAGCUCCUGAUCGAAGCCCCGGUAAACGGCGGCCGUAACUAUAACGGUCCUAAGGUAGCGAAAUUCCUUGUCGGGUAAGUUCCGACCUGCACGAAUGGCGUAAUGAUGGCCAGGCUGUCUCCACCCGAGACUCAGUGAAAUUGAACUCGCUGUGAAGAUGCAGUGUACCCGCGGCAAGACGGAAAGACCCCGUGAACCUUUACUAUAGCUUGACACUGAACAUUGAGCCUUGAUGUGUAGGAUAGGUGGGAGGCUUUGAAGUGUGGACGCCAGUCUGCAUGGAGCCGACCUUGAAAUACCACCCUUUAAUGUUUGAUGUUCUAACGUGGACCCGUGAUCCGGGUUGCGGACAGUGUCUGGUGGGUAGUUUGACUGGGGCGGUCUCCUCCUAAAGAGUAACGGAGGAGCACGAAGGUUGGCUAAUCCUGGUCGGACAUCAGGAGGUUAGUGCAAUGGCAUAAGCCAGCUUGACUGCGAGCGUGACGGCGCGAGCAGGUGCGAAAGCAGGUCAUAGUGAUCCGGUGGUUCUGAAUGGAAGGGCCAUCGCUCAACGGAUAAAAGGUACUCCGGGGAUAACAGGCUGAUACCGCCCAAGAGUUCAUAUCGACGGCGGUGUUUGGCACCUCGAUGUCGGCUCAUCACAUCCUGGGGCUGAAGUAGGUCCCAAGGGUAUGGCUGUUCGCCAUUUAAAGUGGUACGCGAGCUGGGUUUAGAACGUCGUGAGACAGUUCGGUCCCUAUCUGCCGUGGGCGCUGGAGAACUGAGGGGGGCUGCUCCUAGUACGAGAGGACCGGAGUGGACGCAUCACUGGUGUUCGGGUUGUCAUGCCAAUGGCACUGCCCGGUAGCUAAAUGCGGAAGAGAUAAGUGCUGAAAGCAUCUAAGCACGAAACUUGCCCCGA
Molecule: ribosomal RNA, 1449 nt
Filed under: Salmonella enterica subsp. enterica serovar Montevideo
Lineage: Bacteria; Pseudomonadati; Pseudomonadota; Gammaproteobacteria; Enterobacterales; Enterobacteriaceae
Description: partial 23S ribosomal RNA
Rfam family: Bacterial large subunit ribosomal RNA
Source: RNAcentral